RNAcentral lists this ribosomal RNA (229 nucleotides) under uncultured bacterium. Its description in RNAcentral is "partial 16S ribosomal RNA". It matches the Rfam family "Bacterial small subunit ribosomal RNA", at positions 568 to 796 of the family's 1533-position model. The record is from RNAcentral.
UACGUAGGCGGAAGAUUAAGUCAGUGGUGAAAUCCUGCAGCUUAACUGUAGAACUGUCAUUGAUACUGGUUUUCUUGAAUUUAGUUGAGGUAGGCGGAAUGUGUAAUGUAGCGGUGAAAUGCUUAGAUGUUACACAGAACACCGAUUGCGAAGGCAGCUUACUAAACUAUGAUUGACGCUGAGGUACGAAAGCGUGGGGAGCGAACAGGAUUAGAUACCCUGGUAGUCC